AAUAAGCAAAAUAAGGGCGUAUGGGGAAUGCCUAGGCUCUCAGAGGCGAUGAAGGACGUGAUAAGCUGCGAAAAGCUACGGGGAUUGGCACACACGAAUUGAUCCGUAGAUAUCCGAAUGGGGCAACCCACUAUGUUGAAGACAUAGUACUCCGAUAGGAGAGUAAACCCGCUGAACUGAAACAUCUAAGUAGGCGGAGGAGAAGAAAACAAAAGUGAUUCCGUAAGUAGUGGCGAGCGAACGCGGAUUAGCCCAAACCAAUGUUGUUACGGCAAUAUUGGGGUUGUAGGACCACGACAUUUCAUGCGGAUUGAAUUAGAAUAAC
RNAcentral lists this ribosomal RNA (325 nucleotides) under uncultured Flavobacteriaceae bacterium. RNAcentral describes it as "bacterial LSU rRNA". It matches the Rfam family "Bacterial large subunit ribosomal RNA", at positions 1 to 338 of the family's 2925-position model. Lineage: Bacteria; Pseudomonadati; Bacteroidota; Flavobacteriia; Flavobacteriales; Flavobacteriaceae. The record is from RNAcentral.